Molecule: ribosomal RNA, 363 nt
Filed under: Gnosonesima cf. mediterranea CEL-2014
Lineage: Eukaryota; Metazoa; Platyhelminthes; Gnosonesimidae
Description: partial 16S ribosomal RNA
Source: RNAcentral
UGAAAAAAAAACAUUUUUAAAUUGAAUUUUUUUUGUUAAAGUAGCAUAAUUAAUUGUUAUUUAAUUGUUAACUUGUUUGAAUGGUAAUUUAUCAAUAGUUUUUUUUUUGUAAUAUUUCUUUAAUUUUUUAUUUUAGUAAAAAAACUAAUUAAAAAAAAAAAGACAAUAAGACCCUUUAAUUUUUACAGAAGUUUUAUAUUUGUUAAAUAGGGAAUUUUUAAAAAAUUUAUUUAAUUAAAAACUUUUUUUUAAAAAAUAAAUAAAUAAUACUAAAGGGAUAACAGGGUAAUAAUUUAUUUUUAAAUUGUUUUCUACCUCGAUGUUGAAUCAAAAUUUUCUAAUAAAUUAAAAAUUUUUGAGAAA